GCGGAGAUGGCCCAGCCCGGUAAGGCGAUGGACUGCUAAUCCAUUGACGUUUACGUCACGAGGGUUCGAAUCCCUCUCUCCGCG
RNAcentral lists this transfer RNA (84 nucleotides) under Thermoplasmatota archaeon. RNAcentral's name for it is "Candidatus Thermoplasmatota archaeon tRNA-Ser". It matches the Rfam family "tRNA". Rfam says of the family: Transfer RNA (tRNA) molecules are approximately 80 nucleotides in length. Their secondary structure includes four short double-helical elements and three loops (D, anti-codon, and T loops). Lineage: Archaea; Methanobacteriati; Thermoplasmatota. The record is from RNAcentral.